RNAcentral lists this small nuclear RNA (119 nucleotides) under Fukomys damarensis (Damara mole-rat). RNAcentral describes it as "U2 spliceosomal RNA". It matches the Rfam family "U2 spliceosomal RNA". Rfam says of the family: U2 is a small nuclear RNA (snRNA) component of the spliceosome (involved in pre-mRNA splicing). Complementary binding between U2 snRNA (in an area lying towards the 5' end but 3' to hairpin I) and the branchpoint sequence (BPS) of the intron results the bulging out of an unpaired adenosine, on the BPS, which initiates a nucleophilic attack at the intronic 5' splice site, thus starting the first of two transesterification reactions that mediate splicing. The record is from Rfam by way of RNAcentral. Lineage: Eukaryota; Metazoa; Chordata; Mammalia; Rodentia; Bathyergidae.
AUCACUUCUUGGCCUUUCAGCUAAGAUCAAAUGUAGUAUCUGUACUUAUCAGUUUACUAUUACUUAUUUAGUCAUUGAACAAAAAAUUAAUUAGAAUAUACUGUGUUCUGAGAACUGUA